GACGAACGCUGGCGGCGUGCUUAACACAUGCAAGUCGAACGGUGAAAGCGGAGCUUGCUCCGCUGGAUCAGUGGCGAACGGGUGAGUAACACGUGGGCAACCUGCCCCUCACUUCGGGAUAACUCCGGGAAACCGGGGCUAAUACCGGAUAUGACCUCCUUGGGCAUCCUUGGAGGUGGAAAGUUUUUCGGUGAGGGAUGGGCCCGCAGCCUAUCAGCUUGUUGGUGAGGUAGUGGCUCACCAAGGCGACGACGGGUAGCCGGCCUGCGGGGGCGACCGGCCACACUGGGACUGAGACACGGCCCAGACUCCUACGGGAGGCAGCAGUGGGGAAUAUUGCGCAAUGGGCGAAAGCCUGACGCAGCAACGCCGCGUGCGGGAUGACGGCCUUCGGGUUGUAAACCGCUUUCAGCAGGGAAGAAGCCGCAAGGUGACGGUACCUGCAGAAGAAGCACCGGCUAACUACGUGCCAGCCGCCGCGGUAA
This 485-nucleotide ribosomal RNA is filed under the name uncultured bacterium. RNAcentral's name for it is "partial 16S ribosomal RNA". It matches the Rfam family "Bacterial small subunit ribosomal RNA", at positions 28 to 523 of the family's 1533-position model. The record is from RNAcentral.